Molecule: ribosomal RNA, 914 nt
Filed under: Akanthomyces aculeatus
Lineage: Eukaryota; Fungi; Ascomycota; Sordariomycetes; Hypocreales; Cordycipitaceae
Description: SSU rRNA
Rfam family: Eukaryotic small subunit ribosomal RNA
Source: RNAcentral
GAAGGGAUGUAUUUAUUAGAUUAAAAACCAAUGCCCUCUGGGCUCCUUGGUGAUUCAUGAUAACUUUUCGAAUCGCAGGCCUUGCGCCGGCGAUGGUUCAUUCAAAUUUCUUCCCUAUCAACUUUCGAUGUUUGGGUAUUGGCCAAACAUGGUCGCAACGGGUAACGGAGGGUUAGGGCUCGACCCCGGAGAAGGAGCCUGAGAAACGGCUACUACAUCCAAGGAAGGCAGCAGGCGCGCAAAUUACCCAAUCCCGAUUCGGGGAGGUAGUGACAAUAAAUACUGAUACAGGGCUCUUUUGGGUCUUGUAAUUGGAAUGAGUACAAUUUAAAUCCCUUAACGAGGAACAAUUGGAGGGCAAGUCUGGUGCCAGCAGCCGCGGUAAUUCCAGCUCCAAUAGCGUAUAUAAAGUUGUUGUGGUUAAAAAGCUCGUAGUUGAACCUUGGGCCUGGCUGGCCGGUCCGCCUCACCGCGUGCACUGGUCCGGCCGGGCCUUUCCCUCUGUGGAACCCCAUGCCCUUCACUGGGUGUGGCGGGGAAACAGGACUUUUACUUUGAAAAAAUUAGAGUGCUCCAGGCAGGCCUAUGCUCGAAUACAUUAGCAUGGAAUAAUGAAAUAGGACGUGUGGUUCUAUUUUGUUGGUUUCUAGGACCGCCGUAAUGAUUAAUAGGGACAGUCGGGGGCAUCAGUAUUCAAUUGUCAGAGGUGAAAUUCUUGGAUUUAUUGAAGACUAACUACUGCGAAAGCAUUUGCCAAGGAUGUUUUCAUUAAUCAGGAACGAAAGUUAGGGGAUCGAAGACGAUCAGAUACCGUCGUAGUCUUAACCAUAAACUAUGCCGACUAGGGAUCGGACGAUGUUAUUUUUGACGCGUUCGGCACCUUACGAGAAAUCAAAGUGCUUGGGCUCCAGGGG